This is a long non-coding RNA of Venturia canescens, 1314 nucleotides long. RefSeq lists it as uncharacterized. The record is from RefSeq and is a predicted model, not a curated record. The transcript is spliced from 2 exons. NCBI's taxonomy places the organism in Eukaryota, Metazoa, Arthropoda, Insecta, Hymenoptera, Ichneumonidae.
UUCUGCGCUAAGAACCGCGAAUUUGCGAAUUUCGUACUUUAGCAUUUCAUACGGAUUUGAUAAUUUGAUCAUUGAAAUAUUAACAAAUGAGAGGAACGUGACGGACUUGGGUGACUAAUAUAUAAGUAUAGCAUAAACAAUAACCGCUAGUCGAUAAGAAAUAUGAACUUAUUGACUAACUCAUUCUUAUAGUUUACAUUAUAAUAAUCUCCAUACGUUGAAAUGUAUCGAAAUAAGGCUUUCUUUGAUUUCUUAUAUAAAUAGUUCUAGUAUUCCAAUACGAUACUUUUACCCACUUUCAUCUUAUAAACAUUAGGCUAGGACAUAUCCUUCGUCACUCUUAUGCUAAGGACCUAGAAUAAUAAGGGCAUUGUGUGGUUGCGAAGCGAGCGUGUGAAACCGAAGCGUGGGUCGCGAGACCCCAGAAUUCGAAUGAGUGGGAGAAUGAAGAACAACGUGAUUGGUCCGCGUAUGAGCGGAACGUACGGAGUCUGCGCGUGAGAAUCAAAAGAUUUGUGAGACUAAAAGUCGAACGGAAUAGAAUUAAGGGAGAACAUUGUUGUCAGCCGAAGAGUCAAGAUCCAUAUUUUCGUCAAUAUAUUCAUAAAACAUUUAAAUCUUUGUCUUGAGUUAUUGAAGAGAAAUUCGCAAGGCGAGUUUCAACUCCUUAUCAAUCGAACCCACCCAAAACUAAAUCAUUCGAAAUAAUAGUUACUAUAAUUCCCGCUCGGAGCGUUACAGUACACGUCUUGUGUAAUAACAAUAACGAUUAAAAUGUCACAGUUCUUACAAUUAUCGAAUUAGUCACAAUAUUUGCAUGUCUAUUUCAUGUAUCUUUCACUUGCUCCACUUUAAUUCAGUUCAAUCACUACGUUUCGCGAGAAAUUCACAAGUUCAAUUUCGUAUCCCACCGCGCUGCCACCAAUAAAAUGAGCAAGCCUUGAAGCCUCUUUGAGAUUAUGAAGCCAGGUUAAUGAACGAUGAUCAGUAAUCAAGUGGUGGAAUAGUUCAUCUCUGCGGCAUUUAAGGUACGGGAUGCAUAUGCAAUCGGGAGAUCUUUACCUACAGGUCCUUGGCUCAAUACAGCGCCCAAGGCAUAUCCGGAUGCGUCUGUUGUGAUAACAAAUGGUUGAGUAAAGUCAGGGUACUGCAAUAAUGGUUGAGAGCAUAGAAUCUUCUUUAUUUCGUUAAACGAAUUUUCUUGCGCCUCCACCCACUGAAAUUCAGUCGUCUUUUUCAGCAAUAUUGUUAAAGGUUUUGUAAUUGUGGCGAAAUUUGGAAUAAAUCGUCUGUAAUAACCGGCUAACCCCAAAA